AGAUACCCGGGUAGUCCACGCCCUAAACGAUGCCCGCUGGCUGUCGGAAACUCCCUUACGGGAUUUUCGGUAGCGAAGCUAACGCGUUAAGCGGGCCGCCUGGGGAAUACGGUCGCAAGAUUAAAACUCAAAGGAAUUGACGGGGACCCGCACAAGCGGUGGAUGAUGUGGUUUAAUUCGAUGCAACGCGAAAAACCUUACCCGCUCCUGACAUGUCCGGAAUCCCGCGGAGACGCGGGAGUGCCUUAGGGAACCGGAACACAGGUGCUGCAUGGCCGUCGUCAG
Molecule: ribosomal RNA, 285 nt
Filed under: uncultured bacterium
Lineage: Bacteria
Description: partial 16S ribosomal RNA
Rfam family: Bacterial small subunit ribosomal RNA
Source: RNAcentral